UGCGCAGGCGGGUUUGUAAGUCAGUGGUGAAAUCCUGCCGCUUAACGGUAGAAUUGCCAUUGAUACUGCGAAUCUUAAGUAUGGUUGAGGUAGGCGGAAUGUGUAGUGUAGCGGUGAAAUGCAUAGAUAUUACACAGAACUCCGAUUGCGAAGGCAGCUUACUAAGCCAUAACUGACGCUGAGGCACGAAAGCGUGGGGAGCGAACAGGAUUAGAUACCCUGGUAGUCC
Molecule: ribosomal RNA, 229 nt
Filed under: uncultured bacterium
Lineage: Bacteria
Description: partial 16S ribosomal RNA
Rfam family: Bacterial small subunit ribosomal RNA
Source: RNAcentral